UGGACCUUUGUGAACAAGUUUAGCAAGCUAUUGGUCAGCCUCAUGAGACUAAAGUGACCCUCAAAACAAACCUGACAGUUGACUUGCUUGUCGUGGUUGUUUUGCAUCACCAGAUUUUUAGAGCCACUACUCUGGGUUUUUCCCUUGGGGUUUUCUGCCCUCAUCUUUCUCCAUCCAUUGGAAUAAUAGAUGGAUUCAUUCCCAGAGAAUUCUUAGCUUCUAGAAUAUCUUUCCUUUCCUCAGCUCAUACUGCUGGAAGAGUCCUGCUGAAAUUCUCUAUAAUGUCCAAGCUCAGCUCAGACAGGCACAGGCCAUAAGGUUGGCCACCCAACAGAUGCCAUCAUGGCCCUGUUGCUUUGGAUCAUGGGCCACAACAGUGAGUCCCAAAGAUUCAACACACCUGACACAAGCAAAGUAGAUUCUGCUGAGAGGUUGCCAUCAACUGCAUUGGUUUGUUUUGGUUUGUUUUGUCUAUCAAAGCCAGAAGGAGAAGGAAGGUAUGUAGUGGAAACAUUUAAAUUGCUUUUAUUUUCAAAAUGGGUGAGAGGAAAUGUAUGUCUAGUUUCGUAUUGGGAUAUUUUCUAUUUCCAAGCAAAAGAAUUGAUCUUUUUGUUUUGUUGGCUGCUUAGUUGCAUAAUAGAUAUAUUUAUAUUGCUUUUCUGAUGGAUCGAGAGACUAAACUCUUUCCCCAAAGGAUGAGCACACAGAGGUUGACCUUUGUCUUCUUGAGCUGUCUCUUUUAAAGAAGUCAAGGCACCAUCUCAACCUACGAGUGAGCCAAAAGUACAGGUCUAGGAUGAUUCUGCAUAAGAGAUUUCAAGGCAUAAGCUAUUGACAGUGAGCAUUGGAGUUGUUGAUUAAUUUCCUUAACCAUCA
Canis lupus familiaris (dog) is the source of this 876-nucleotide long non-coding RNA. RefSeq lists it as uncharacterized. The record is from RefSeq and is a predicted model, not a curated record. The transcript is spliced from 3 exons. NCBI's taxonomy places the organism in Eukaryota, Metazoa, Chordata, Mammalia, Carnivora, Canidae.